RNAcentral lists this long non-coding RNA (205 nucleotides) under Mytilus galloprovincialis (Mediterranean mussel). The record is from RNAcentral. Lineage: Eukaryota; Metazoa; Mollusca; Bivalvia; Mytilida; Mytilidae.
GUGGUCUUUACUUGAACUUGACGUGUUGUAAUUUAAAUAUCCAUCGUAAACAUGGUAAAUGAACCGUGUGUCGUUAUUUAAUAAAUUAUUCUAAAUAUAUGUAGACGGAAAUCGAUUUUAUGUAGAAACAAAACGUGACAGAUGGACAAGCAAGUGAAAAUCUAACAACAGUAAAGAUGGAUGAGAUAUGGAAAGAGAAUUCCCC